Long non-coding RNA from Dama dama (fallow deer), 5758 nucleotides. RefSeq lists it as uncharacterized. The record is from RefSeq and is a predicted model, not a curated record. NCBI's taxonomy places the organism in Eukaryota, Metazoa, Chordata, Mammalia, Artiodactyla, Cervidae. The transcript is spliced from 12 exons.
UCACAUUCUUGUCCCAUCUAGCUUACUACAGAGUGUUGAGCAGAGUUCCCUGUGCUAUACAGUAGGUCCUUGUUGGUUAUUAAAUGGAUUCUUGAUCUGUCCCCGCACCCCAGGGACAGACUGUGGAUAGGGGUGUCCCCACUCGGACAGCAGGGCUGGGUGAGGACAUGAAGUGUGCAGGCAAUGGCCUGAAAGCCCGAGGUUAGGAGGGAAGGUGAGGGGCAAGGGUGCCGGCCAAGGGGUCAGGCAAGUGCCAGGACGCUGUGACAGGCACCCAGAAAUCCUUGGAAGGAUCCCCAGGAGCAGGGGUCCCCAACCUCUGGGCUGUGGACUGGCACCUCCUGUCAGAUCAGUGGCAGCAUUAGAUGAUUAUUAGAAAUAAAGUGCACAAUAAAUGUAAUACACUUGAGUCAUCUCAAAACCACCCCUUCCCGGGUCCAUGGAAAAAUUGUCUUCCUUGAAACUGGUCUCCACUGCCAAAAGGGUUGGGGGCCUCUGCCUAGGAGCACUGGACUGCUGGCAGGGAGGUGCAAAGCUGAAGAUUCUCAUUUAGUUUGAAGGGAAGGGCCACCCCAGCUGGUUGGCCAACACUGGGGACCCCUCACCAUGUGACAUGGGGCAUUUGUAAUACCUUCCAGGGUGCCGGGCAGCUGGCAGCAGAAAAGUUUGUUAGCAGUACUGACUGGGAAGGUGAGGAGGUGGGACCAAGCUAUGCUAGAAGCUACCUCAAUGAAUAGCGUGGAAAGAUCUCCGGUCUUGGGCUUGACGCCUGCAGAAGUAGGGCUCCCCGUGGUCCCCAGCCUUGGCGAAUGGCACACUCCCAUUGCUCCCCCCACCCCCAGAAGACUACACUUUUGUCAUCCUUGUCACUAAUGCUUCCUCACCUCUCCAGAUUGAUUUUUCCUUUUGUUUCCUCUGGAGCCCCUGACGAACACCAGAAUGUACCAUACGUUCACAUCUGUGCACUUAAGGGAGAAAGCAGAGUGGAGAUAGGCAUUUGGACUUACAGAAAGGAAUCCUGGAAAGUUUCCCAGAGCCUAGAGCGCCUCAUUCCUGAUCUCCACCCUGAACUCCUCUCAGGGUGUGUUGAAGGUCAGUGAUGGCAGGGGCGGUUGACUCAACCCCCACACAGCUGGAUGGCGGGCCACCUGCUUUGGUUGGUGGAAUUGGCUCAAUCCCGUCUAGGCCUUUCACCGAGGAUGCUCCUGAUCUUGAGCGAGAGGAACUACAGCACCGCACCCCCUCUGCCACAGCCAGGGUCUAGAAGCCUCACAGGGCUCCCUGGAGGACUGGUCAGGCCCUAGCAGGACCUCACUGAUACCUCAUUGUCCCAGAUGGAGACCAGGAAGAGCCGGCCUGAGAGCGAGAGGUGUAUGCAGGUCAGGAAGCAACAGUUACAACUGGACAUGGAACAACAGACUGGUUCCAAAUAGGAAAAGGAGUACGUCAAGGCUGUAUAUUGUCACCCUGCUUAUUUAACUUAUAUGCAGAGUACAUCAUGAGAAAUGCUGGGCUGGAGGAAGCACAAGCUGGAAUCAAGAUUGCUGGGAGAAAUAUCAAUAACUUCAGAUAUGCAAAUGACACCACCCUUAUGGCAGAAAGUGAAGAAGAACUAAAGACUCUAUUGAUGAAAGUGAAAGAGGAGAGUGAAAAAGUUGGCUUAAAGCUCAACAUUCAGAAAACAAAGAUCACGGCAUCUGGUCCCAUCACUUCAUGGCAAAUAGAUGGGGAAACAGUGGAAACAGUGGCUGACUUUAUUUUUCUGGGCUCCAAAAUCACUGCAGAUGGUGAUUGCAGCCAUGAAAUAAAAGGAUGCUUACUCCUUGGAAGGAAAGUUAUGACCAACCUAGAUAGCAUAUCUAAAAGCAGAGACAUUACUUUGCCAACAAAGGUCCGUCUAGUCAAGGCUAUGAUUUUUCCAGUAGUCAUGUAUGGAUGUGAGAGUUGGACUAUAAAGAAAGCUGAGUGCCAGAGAAUUGAUGCUUUUGAACUGUGGUGUUGGAGAAGACUCUUAAUCCCUUGGACUGCAAGGAGAUCCAACCAGUCCAUCCUAAAGGAAAUCAUCCCUGAAUAUUCAUUGGAAGGACUGAUGUUGAAGCUGAAACUACAGUACUUUAGCUACCUGAUGGGAAGAGCUGACUCAUUUGAAAAGACCCUGAUUCUGGGAAAGAUUGAAGGCAAGAGAAGGGGACGACAGAGGAUGAGAUGGUUGGAUGGACAUGAGUUUGAGUAAACUCCAGGAGUUGGUGAUGGACAGGGAGGCCUGGCGUGCUGCAGUCCAUGGGGUCGCAAAGAGUCGGACACGACUGAGCAACUGAACUGACUGAACUGAGGUCAUAAAGUGGGUUCCCUUGUGGCCUAGAUGGUAAAGAAUCCACCUGCAGUGCAGGAGACACAGGCUCAAUCCCUGGGUCGGGAAGAUCCCCUGAAGAAGGGAAUGGCAACCCACUCUAGUAUUCUUGCCUGGAGAAUCCAAUGGACAGAGGAACCUGGUGGGCUACACUCCAUAAGGUCACAAAGAGUAGGACACUCCUGAGCAACUAACACACACACACACACACGCACACAAACACAUGAUAAAAAUGCCCCUAAGAAACUUCACGUGAACAAAACUGCAUUCUAAGACUUUGGGAAAAAAGAAAAAGGACCUGAGAUUUGUAAUAGGCAUGCCAUUUGUGUGCAGUAGGAUGGUCCAUAGUAGAGAUCUUCCAAAGAGCUGUGUGUCAUUGUUCUAGCUUCGAUCAGCCGCCUGGAUGACAAAAGUGAUGCAAACCACAGCUCGCCACGCAAACCAGGAAGCUCGCGGGCCAUUAGGCUGGGAGGAUUGAGAGAGUGAAUGUGUGUGAAGCCCUGAGAACAGGUCCCAGCAUACUAUCAUUUCGGGCACAGAGGAAGAGCAUGGGCAGCUGGCCCAGGACCCACCGUGUCACCUGAACCAACCAGGAGAGGUCCCUGCUCACCCUUGAAGAUGCACUUGCCUUUGUCAUGUACAGAAGGCCCAGACCUACUGUCCUUCCCCAUGGGUUCUUUCAGCUCGCUGGUCCACACACAGUGAGCUGAGGGCCUUGGUACCCAGCAUGGUGCAAGGGCCUGUGGGGGACAUGUCCACAGUCUUCAGGGCAGGAGCCUGAGGCAUCUCAGCAUAGGGCUGCUUUGGAGAUGAAGACACAAGGCAAGCUGACCCACCACCUUGGCCAGUGACACCUGCUUUGCUUCCGCCAUAAUCAGCGCAUCAGAAGAGCAGUCUCAGGCAGGUGCCCAGAACUGGGGAGGAAUUUACCUCAAAGAGCAGUGCCCUCUGACCAGCCAAUACUGUAUCUCCCUCCACUCAUCUUCAGAGGUGCCUUUCUCAGCGCAAAUCCAUGAGCUGGCAGCACAACCAGGCUGUCUAAGCAGGAGGAAGCCAAGAAGGAGAUGCCUUCACUCCUCUGCCCAUCACCUGCCAGAGAACCAGGAUACUUGGUGGCAGCUGGCUUACCUUUCCCCAAACAGCCAUCUGUUGUGACAUCACUGUCAGCUGAGCCUGACUCGUCAUUUGUAUCAACCGGCUUCCAGAGUGUGCCGUGUGCCCAGGUGACCUUGGGAUACAGGUCCUGCUCUCCUGAAUGAGUUUUCCAAGUUCCAUAAUCAGCUUUGAAUAUCCUCAGAGUCCCUGUGGGCGCAUGGCAGUAGGUUACGGCAGCAUCACCGGAGCUGUUUAAAAUGUAACAAACCAAUAAACUCCCAGGGAGCUGAAGGAUGCCUACCCCUGCCGUGGUUCCUGCAGUGCAGCCAGGAAAGUUGUUAAAUGCCAGCCCAUCUGGUCUGCUUGGAACCCUUGGAUGGAAAGAGGACCCCUUCAAACAUCUGAACUUGAUCUCUACAAACGAGAAGUCUUGGGACCAGAAAGCCCCCAGGGUCCUCCUGGAAGAGGGCAUGGCAACCCACUCCAGUAUUCUUGCCUGGAGAAUCCCCAAGGACAGAGGAGCCUGGCAGGCUGCAGUCCAUAGGAUCGCAAAGAGUUGCAUAUGACUGAAGUAACUUAGCACACACCCACGCUCUAGGUCCUGCCUGACCUCCCAUCUCUGGGGGCUGCAUUGAUCAUUUAGCAAGCACUGGUCUUGACUUCCUCCUCCUGCAGGGGUUUGCCUGAAGAGAGCCCCCAGAUGGGGAGCCUGUAAGAAGAACUGCAUGCUUAUGUGAAUACUUGGAAGCUUACUUGGCCAGGUCCCAUAGUUGUGCUGUCUUUGCUCAAGAAAAUUCCAAGCUGAAAUUCUAUAUUCCAGCCCCUGUGGAGGGUGAAACAGGAAAAGUGAGAGCAAUCACGUCCCUCCAUUCCUAGGACCAAAGACUCAACGAUCAAAACAGACCCUGCCAGGUCAGGACAAUCCAGCCGGAAGGGCCUGUCCAGAGCGAUGGGGAUGGUGACAGAAACCUCACUUGUGGCCUCGAUUCUUCCCACCGGAACCAGCUGUUAAGCAGUGGGCCUGGAGCCAGAUUCUGGCUUUGAGAACCCAGGUCUGGAACGCCAGUCCUUGCCUUCCACAGUCUACCUGAUGGAGACCAAAGAUUCAUUCCUUAAAAUCUUAUUGAACAAGGAUGACGUGCUGGGAGGUACUGGUGACACAGCUGGGAAAGGUAGACAAGGUUUGCGUCUCCCUCCAGGGGGCUUCCCUUCUGGAGGUGGCAUCAGAUGGCAACAAGUGCUCGAGACCAAAGGACCAGGUGGAGGCGGGGCUGCUUUAGGGACGGUGAACAGGAAGCUCAUUCUGGAGAGGGGGUGCCUGACCAGCCCGCCUCCUAUCCCCUGUGGGCCCCCAGCUUUGCAGCAACCGCUGAGCUCCAAGAUGGGAAUGAGCUUGCUGUCCAAGGGCCAGCAGGUCAGAGUGUACCAACAAGGUGGAGAGAAGGGAGAUGCAGUCCAAGUGCCCAGCAGGCUCAGUCCGUGGUCAAGAGCCUGGAUUUUAUUUGAAUGAUGACAGGGAAGCUGCUGGAAAGUCAGUCUUAGCCCAGGUUCUCACCUUCUCCCGUAAAGGUCAUCAGACAGAGAGGAUAGGGGCUGAGGCAGAGUGGAGAGUGCAGAGACCCACAGGUUACAGCCAGGUGGCCCCUUCCGGAAGAGGGUGUGUGAGGCGCCUGGCUGCUGCUGUCUGCUGUCCAAAGGUUGGCGCCUGAAGUUUGGGGUUUUCCCAGGAUGUAUGCUUCUAUUUCCUGAAUCUCAUGUGCUUCUCCAGAAAGCCAGGAGGGGUCCUGAUGAGGUGUCAGAUCCUGUAGCAGUCAUUUUUAGGUCCCGAUGACCUUUUAAUGCGGGCCAGGAUGGUCCCGUGCGCCUAUGCAGAAGGCCAAGAAAAGACAGUUCAAACUGUCCUGGGGAUGAACAGACCCGAGCCCUGGCCCAGAGACUGACUUGGGAGAAAGUCAGUCGGGCACCUUGACCAUGAGCUGGAUGAAAACAUUUUGACCAGUGGUUCUCAGAGUGUGGCCUGCGCAUCAGCAUCAUGUGGGAACUUGUUAGAAACGCUAAACAGAGACUCAGCUUUCUAUAUCUGAACAUGUACUCUAGAUGAUUCUCAUACUCAAUAAAGCUUCAACGCCACUCUGUUAGAAAAAAGCUGGGUGGAUGGUUAAAAAAAAAAACACUUUGCUUUGGCUGAGACUUGGUUCAAAUUAGAGCAAAAACAGAAAACUUCAUGGCAGGGGGAUGUGGGAUGUAGUCUGUGCCUCAAACUCAACCAAACACAGAAACUAAUAUAUCCAGGUUAUAACUUUUCAACCCAAC